Long non-coding RNA from Gossypium raimondii (Peruvian cotton), 200 nucleotides. RefSeq lists it as uncharacterized. NCBI's taxonomy places the organism in Eukaryota, Viridiplantae, Streptophyta, Magnoliopsida, Malvales, Malvaceae. The record is from RefSeq and is a predicted model, not a curated record. The transcript has 3 exons.
AAAAAAUAAGAAGAAGGGUUCAUACAUUCGGCCAUUGUUGGAGCUAAUUCAAGAUCAAGAACAAAAGAAAUCAGACUUGGAUCGGGGGAAAAAAAUAGUUGUUGAAUAGUCGUUCUAUAUACCCGUCGAUAUUCGAGAGUUCCAAAUACUUGCUCGGGUUGGAAGUCGUUGAGUAAAUCAUCACACUAUCUGGUUAUCGC